UACGAAGGGGGCUAGCGUUGCUCGGAAUCACUGGGCGUAAAGGGUGCGUAGGCGGGUCUUUAAGUCAGGGGUGAAAUCCUGGAGCUCAACUCCAGAACUGCCUUUGAUACUGAGGAUCUUGAGUCCGGGAGAGGUGAGUGGAACUGCGAGUGUAGAGGUGAAAUUCGUAGAUAUUCGCAAGAACACCAGUGGCGAAGGCGGCUCACUGGCCCGGUACUGACGCUGAGGCACGAAGGCCAGGGGAGCAAACGGG
RNAcentral lists this ribosomal RNA (253 nucleotides) under uncultured bacterium. RNAcentral describes it as "partial 16S ribosomal RNA". It matches the Rfam family "Bacterial small subunit ribosomal RNA", at positions 524 to 776 of the family's 1533-position model. The record is from RNAcentral.